RNAcentral lists this ribosomal RNA (422 nucleotides) under uncultured Cryomorphaceae bacterium. Its description in RNAcentral is "partial 16S ribosomal RNA". It matches the Rfam family "Bacterial small subunit ribosomal RNA", at positions 355 to 774 of the family's 1533-position model. The record is from RNAcentral. Lineage: Bacteria; Pseudomonadati; Bacteroidota; Flavobacteriia; Flavobacteriales; Cryomorphaceae.
UGAGGAAUAUUGGUCAAUGGGCGCAAGCCUGAACCAGCCAUGCCGCGUGCAGGAUGAAUGCCCUAUGGGUUGUAAACUGCUUUUAUUUGGGAAUAAACUCUCUUACGUGUAAGAGCCUGAAGGUACCAAAUGAAUAAGCACCGGCUAACUCCGUGCCAGCAGCCGCGGUAAUACGGAGGGUGCAAGCGUUAUCCGGAAUCAUUGGGUUUAAAGGGUCCGCAGGCGGGAAUAUAAGUCAGUGGUGAAAUCUCAUAGCUUAACUAUGAAACUGCCAUUGAUACUGUAUUUCUUGAAUUCGGUCGAAGUGGGCGGAAUAUGACAUGUAGCGGUGAAAUGCUUAGAUAUGUCAUAGAACACCGAUAGCGAAGGCAGCUCACUAGGCCUGGAUUGACGCUCAGGGACGAAAGCGUGGGGAGCAAACA